This 247-nucleotide unclassified non-coding RNA is filed under the name uncultured Lasiosphaeriaceae. RNAcentral describes it as "sequence contains ITS2". Lineage: Eukaryota; Fungi; Ascomycota; Sordariomycetes; Sordariales; Lasiosphaeriaceae. The record is from RNAcentral.
AACGCACAUUGCGCCCGCUAGUAUUCUGGCGGGCAUGCCUGUUCGAGCGUCAUUUCAACCAUCAAGCGCCCGCGCUUGUGUUGGAGCCCUGCGGCUGCCGCAGGCUCCCAAAACCAGUGGCGGGCUCGUCGUCGUACCGAGUGCAGUAAACAUACCACGCUCAGGGCACGCGACGGGUGACCGGCCGUAAAACCCCCCACUUAUCAAGGUUGACCUCGGAUCAGGUAGGAAUACCCGCUGAACUUAA